RNAcentral lists this ribosomal RNA (453 nucleotides) under uncultured cyanobacterium. Its description in RNAcentral is "bacterial SSU rRNA". It matches the Rfam family "Bacterial small subunit ribosomal RNA", at positions 1075 to 1527 of the family's 1533-position model. The record is from RNAcentral. Lineage: Bacteria; Bacillati; Cyanobacteriota.
UUGGGUUAAGUCCCGCAACGAGCGCAACCCACGUCCUUAGUUGCCAGCAUUCAGUUGGGGACUCUAGGGAGACUGCCGGUGACAAACCGGAGGAAGGUGUGGAUGACGUCAAGUCAUCAUGCCCCUUACGUCUUGGGCUACACACGUACUACAAUGGUCGGGACAAAGGGCAGCGAGCUCGCGAGAGCAAGCUAAUCUCGGAAACCCGGCCCCAGUUCAGAUUGCAGGCUGCAACUCGCCUGCAUGAAGGAGGAAUCGCUAGUAAUCGCAGGUCAGCAUACUGCGGUGAAUACGUUCCCGGGCCUUGUACACACCGCCCGUCACACCAUGGGAGUUGGUUUUGCCCGAAGUCAUUACCCUAACCGCUUGCGGAGGGGGAUGCCUAAGGCAGGGCUGAUGACUGGGGUGAAGUCGUAACAAGGUAGCCGUACCGGAAGGUGUGGCUGGAUCACC